This 440-nucleotide ribosomal RNA is filed under the name uncultured bacterium. RNAcentral's name for it is "partial 16S ribosomal RNA". It matches the Rfam family "Bacterial small subunit ribosomal RNA", at positions 338 to 795 of the family's 1533-position model. The record is from RNAcentral.
CCUACGGGAGGCAGCAGUGAGGAAUAUUGCACAAUGGCGGAGACCCUGAAGCAGCGAAGCCGCGUGAGUGAAGCAGUAAUUCGUUAUUUAACACUCUAUCAGCAGGGAAGACAAUGACGGUACCUGAGUAAGCAGCACCGUCUACCUACGAACAAGCUGCGGCAGUCAUACGGCGGGAGCACGCGUUAUCCGGAUUUACUGGGUGUAAUGGGAGCGUAUGCGGCAGUGCAAGUCUGGAGUGAAAGGCGGUGGCGCAACCCCCGGACUGCUCUGGAAACUGCACGGCUGGAGUGAAGGAGAGGUACGUGGAAUGCCUAGUGGAGCGGUGAAAUGCAUAGAUAUUACGAGGAACACCAGUUGCGAAGGCGGCGUACCGGACCGUAACUGACGUUGAGGCUCGAAAGCGUGGGGAGCGAACAGGAUUAGAUACCCGGGUAGUC